UGCAAGUCGAACGGCAGCACGGACUUCGGUCUGGUGGCGAGUGGCGAACGGGUGAGUAAUAUAUCGGAACGUGCCCUAGAGUGGGGGAUAACGUAGCGAAAGUUACGCUAAUACCGCAUACGAUCUAAGGAUGAAAGUGGGGGAUCGCAAGACCUCAUGCUCGUGGAGCGGCCGAUAUCUGAUUAGCUAGUUGGUGGGGUAAAAGCCUACCAAGGCGACGAUCAGUAGCUGGUCUGAGAGGACGACCAGCCACACUGGGACUGAGACACGGCCCAGACUCCUACGGGAGGCAGCAGUGGGGAAUUUUGGACAAUGGGGGCAACCCUGAUCCAGCAAUGCCGCGUGUGUGAAGAAGGCCUUCGGGUUGUAAAGCACUUUUGGCGGGAACGAAACGGUGGGGGCUAAUAUCCUCUGCUAAUGACGGUACCCGCAGAAUAAGCACCGGCUAACUACGUGCCAGCAGCCGCGGUAAUACGUAGGGUGCAAGCGUUAAUCGGAAUUACUGGGCGUAAAGCGUGCGCAGGCGGUUGUGCAAGACAGAUGUGAAAUCCCUGGGCUCAACCUAGGAAUUGCAUUUGUGACUGCACGGCUAGAGUGUGUCAGAGGGGGGUAGAAUUCCACGUGUAGCAGUGAAAUGCGUAGAUAUGUGGAGGAAUACCGAUGGCGAAGGCAGCCCCCUGGGAUAACACUGACGCUCAUG
Molecule: ribosomal RNA, 700 nt
Filed under: uncultured bacterium
Lineage: Bacteria
Description: bacterial SSU rRNA
Rfam family: Bacterial small subunit ribosomal RNA
Source: RNAcentral